Long non-coding RNA from Lagopus leucura (white-tailed ptarmigan), 2342 nucleotides. RefSeq lists it as uncharacterized. NCBI's taxonomy places the organism in Eukaryota, Metazoa, Chordata, Aves, Galliformes, Phasianidae. The record is from RefSeq and is a predicted model, not a curated record. The transcript is spliced from 4 exons.
GCCCUCUGGAACCGGAGCGCUGAGGCACUGCGGGUAGCGCAGCGCUGCGUGCCCUUCUGCAGAGGAGUUCCUCAGCACGUGCUGCUCCUUGGAAAUGCGGAGUAACGCCAUAAGACGGCCCUGUCUUUUGGCUAGCUCUGGUGCACGUUAAACCACGCCGUGUAUUACAGUGUCCUUUCGUUGCGUCAUCUUAGGGGCAAGUGUGAUCAGGACUGGUGUGCAUGUGCCCUUAUGUACCUAACACAGCAUCUCACAGCCAGCUCUAGAUCACUACCAAAAAACGUACUGUGCACUGCAGUGUACAGAACUCCUUGGAUCUUCUGCAUUUUUUGGGCACAAGUUUUAACAUUCUCCUCGUAAAUAAUGCUGAUAGACAACAUGCAGUUUCCUCAGUUUCCACGGGCUGAAACAACCAGAGUUUCUGAAAUUCACUUUCCCUCAUGUGAAGCUGGAAAUCAAGGGGUGUAGCACACUGUGCACCUUUAAUGAGCUUUCCAACUAAAAAUACAUUUAGCAAAGUAAAAGGGAGUGAUACAAUUUUUUAGUUGCUCCUAAAGGGCUUCUGCCAUUUCUGGACUCACAAAAGGUGCUUUUGUGAGCUGUGAACAGCUUGGAAAACUCAGCCAAGAGAGCCCCUGGACUGCUCACCAGGCUGCUGAAACCCACUGGGUCUUCCAUACUAUCUUGCCGAAAAGGAGUCCUGAGGGUAUUUUACUUCUGAGUCUCAUAAAUUAAGACUUAAGCAAUCAGAUACAUAAAGCAUUUGUAAUGCUUCCAACUUGGUCCUUGGUGAUGACGCCAGGGGCAGCUUAACUUCAGUGUGAUACACACCUUGAAGAUCUUUUCCACCUGGACCUGAUGGCUCCAUGCAAUAAAGAGGUUGAUGCUGACAUGCUGGAAAGAGGAAGCGCCCACGUGGGAGACACUGUAAGGGCAGCUCUGAGUGACUGAACCCUGAAACAGCCGUACUGUGCAUCAGGCAAGAAGAAUCAGACCAGACAGUUCAGACUACACAAACACUCCUGGUUUACCCAAGCCUUUGGAUACCUACAAAGAAAGCAUACAGACAAGAACAUAUCUUGAGCUUGUGACUGCUGAAGCAAUCCAAAGAUAAAUAUUGUGAAGAUGGCGGGUGUCAAUGAAAAUAACUUUCAUAUUCAGAUGGCACAUCCCUGGGAAGGACCGUAAGCACUGAGAACCGAGACUGGUCUUGACAAGGUCAAGAAAGAAUCUGAAAAGAAAUAAGAUGCAAUUUCGUCAGGAUAAAUGCGAGCUUCUGUGUCAAAGCAGAAAAAAGCCUCUCUGCAAAGACUGAAAAAUGAUUGCCUUUGUUGUAGCUCGGCCACAGAGGAGCUGAGAGGACACAGUUUCAAGCAAUGCUUGAGUCAGCAAGCAUGCUGUUGCAAAACCCAGCACAUUGAGUAUAUAAAAUCUUAAAUUGUUUGUGAUGCUUUUGCUUGCGGCUGGUAAGAUGGCAACACAUGUAUGUUUCCUCAUCUUAGAUUUUCUGUGUUCAAGAAAGAGAUCAGAAGGAGCCUAAAGAAAGAAUCAGCAAGAGCAUGGUAAGGGCUGUGGAAGGCUUUACAAAUGCCUAGAAGAGCAGACAACAGUCUUUAAUUAUGUAAAGAGCUGCAAGCAAGAAAGGAAACAAACCGUUUCCAUAACUCCUCUUGAGAACAUGGCCUGUAAGACUAAAAGAGACAGCAUAAGAAUGUAGCAUGAGAAAUGCAGGUUGGAGAGGAGGAAAGGUAUCCAACAGUAAGCAGCGUGAACCAAUGAAACAGCUAAUCUAGGGAGGCUGUGAAUAUCCAUCACUGGAGGUUUUAAGAAAUCUUUUCAUAUCAUUUAAAUGGAAGAAACACAGAUGCCUGUGUGCUGUGUGGACUCUGAAACAUACUUGUAGACACCUUCGUAACAGCAGAUUUAAGUUUACUGUCAGAUACUUCCUUUGAGCCAUUCUUCAACCUGAGUUCCAGCCAGGUUGAAGACCAAUGUGUGGAAGGGGGCUGGUUUAGCUAAUCUUUGCCUAGGGGGCCACUGUUGAUGUUCUCUCAAGGUCCUUGCCAACUCCAUCGCAAUACAGCCUAUUAAACAUUCCCUUGUUCUCCUCACCCUUAGGUUUCUUGGUCCUUCUUCCAUGAUGGGACACUGAGAUGGAGUUGUCACACAACUUGUGAGAUGCCAUUCAAGAUCACAAAAACAAAUCUAUUUUACAACUCAGCAUCUUUCACAAGAAGACAUUACACCAGUAGAGUUUAUACAAAACAGCAGAGAAAAAAAAUAUUGGAAAACUAAGUAUCAGAAAGCGCCAGAAUUAAGGACACAGUAACCUUAAAUUCUGA